UACGGAGGAUGCGAGCGUUAUCCGGAUUUAUUGGGUUUAAAGGGUGCGUAGGCGGAGUGCCAAGUCAGCGGUAAAAAUUCGGGGCUCAACCCCGUCGUGCCGUUGAAACUGGCGCCCUUGAGUGGGCGAGAAGUACGCGGAAUGCGUGGUGUAGCGGUGAAAUGCAUAGAUAUCACGCAGAACUCCGAUUGCGAAGGCAGCGUACCGGCAUCCAACUGACGCUGAGGCACGAAAGCGUGGGGAUCAAACAGG
This 252-nucleotide ribosomal RNA is filed under the name uncultured bacterium. Its description in RNAcentral is "partial 16S ribosomal RNA". It matches the Rfam family "Bacterial small subunit ribosomal RNA", at positions 524 to 776 of the family's 1533-position model. The record is from RNAcentral.